Molecule: long non-coding RNA, 1030 nt
Filed under: Bos indicus x Bos taurus (hybrid cattle)
Lineage: Eukaryota; Metazoa; Chordata; Mammalia; Artiodactyla; Bovidae
Description: lncRNA (ENSBIXG00005030875.1)
Source: RNAcentral
GGAGGAGAAUAAAAGGGAGAAGUCAGUGCUUUCUCAGUUUAGCCAGUGGUUUACCCAGUCGUUCUCUGAACCCGCGGGUUUCACUUGCGUGGUUUCGCAUACUCGGAUUCAAUAACGAAGGAUCCUCCGUUGGUUGAAUCACUUCAGAAUUGACACUUUAAGGAAAACAGCCAUGGUCCAGCAUGAAGCCAACUAAGCUCUCUUAUAACAUAAAGGCAAAUAUGCUGAAUAAACUGUACUUUUAAAAAUAACAUAGCAAGGCAUUCCAAACCAAUGAAAGGUGGGGAGAGAGAGAGAAGAGAAUCUCCAGUUGCCAAAAGCAGAAAAACAUCAAAAUAGGUUGGAAUUAGAGGAAUCACCAUUUCCGCCCCCUCACUCAGGGAGUCAUGGUUUCCUGUAGCACCAUACUGCAAGUAAUUUCCUACCUCCCUCUGAGAUUCUGUGCCUUCAAAUUUUGGAGGAAGCUGGCACAUAAGAGCAGCUAAGAGUGCCCCGUGAUGCCCUCUAUCUUCUAUUCCUCUCCUUCCAGAGUCUUUGUGCCAUUCUUCAAAAAGUAAGUAGAAAACAUUACAUUGGUUGACAUGACAUAACCUGUGAUGAGGCCGUCGAGUGGAUAGAGAUUUAGGGUUUGGGAUUGGCAAGCCACAUGGCAAGGGCCACCUGCUCACUGGCACGUCCGCCCUCAGCAUACAUCUUUUCUCUUUGAAACUGGGUAAUUGCCAGCACUUUUUAUGAGGCCACUGGCACUGUGGGGCUGAGGGUCUGAAUUGCCCACAUCUACUAAGAGCCAAAGAGGACAGUGUUGGGACUAACUGAAAUUGUAUUCAGAAUUCUACCCAAAAGCUUUAGUUGUAAGCUUUAUCCCUCCUGAAACGUUUCUUUCCCUUUAAAAAAAUAUUUUGUUAAAAAACACUAUGAUAUGAGGGCGAUAGACUAUUUGGUUUCUUCUAAGUAGAUGCUCUUAAAUUAAUGCAUAUAAAUAAUUUGUAUUUAAUCUCCUCUCUUUCCUGUUGAGCAAAGCAUAGAAUGC